CACGUAGGGCGCGAGCGUUGUCCGGAAUUAUUGGGCGUAAAGAGCUCGUAGGCGGCCUGUUGCGUCCGCUGUGAAAGCCCGGGGCUUAACCCCGGGUCGGCAGUGGAUACGGGCAGGCUAGAGGUAGGUAGGGGAGAAUGGAAUUCCCGGUGUAGCGGUGAAAUGCGCAGAUAUCGGGAGGAACACCUGUGGCGAAAGCGGCGCACUGGACCACAACUGACGCUGAGGCGCGAAAGCUAGGGGAGCAAACAGG
Molecule: ribosomal RNA, 253 nt
Filed under: uncultured bacterium
Lineage: Bacteria
Description: partial 16S ribosomal RNA
Rfam family: Bacterial small subunit ribosomal RNA
Source: RNAcentral